Molecule: ribosomal RNA, 497 nt
Filed under: uncultured bacterium
Lineage: Bacteria
Description: partial 16S ribosomal RNA
Rfam family: Bacterial small subunit ribosomal RNA
Source: RNAcentral
GAUGAACGCUGGCGGCGUGCCUAAUACAUGCAAGUCGAGCGAACAGACGAGGAGCUUGCUCCUCUGACGUUAGCGGCGGACGGGUGAGUAACACGUGGAUAACCUACCUAUAAGACUGGGAUAACUUCGGGAAAUCGGAGCUAAUACCGGAUAACAUGUUGAACCGCAUGGUUCAACAGUGAAAGACGGUUUUGCUGUCACUUAUAGAUGGAUCCGCGUCGCAUUAGCUAGUUGGUAAGGUAACGGCUUACCAAGGCAACGAUGCGUAGCCGACCUGAGAGGGUGAUCGGCCACACUGGAACUGAGACACGGUCCAGACUCCUACGGGAGGCAGCAGUAGGGAAUCUUCCGCAAUGGGCGAAAGCCUGACGGAGCAACGCCGCGUGAGUGAAGAAGGUCUUCGGAUCGUAAAACUCUGUUAUUAGGGAAGAACAAAUGUGUAAGUAACUAUGCACGUCUUGACGGUACCUAAUCAGAAAGCCACGGCUAACUACGUG